AUGGCCAAGACCUAUGAGAGAAGGAAAUAAUGAUAGUAGAAACAAAAGCUAAUGUUGCAAAUUCUAUAGACAAGCAUGGGCACGACACAGAAGAUUGUAAAGACCUAAAGAGAGAAAUAACGAGAUUGAUCCAAAGAGUCAUUUGAAAUAGUUUUUCGACAGAAUAGAGGAUUGCUUGAGGAGAAAUAGAAAAGAUGGUGAAAGAGAUUAAAA
RNAcentral lists this long non-coding RNA (213 nucleotides) under Ricinus communis (castor bean). RNAcentral's name for it is "long non-coding RNA (RCOM_LNC002819)". The record is from RNAcentral. Lineage: Eukaryota; Viridiplantae; Streptophyta; Magnoliopsida; Malpighiales; Euphorbiaceae.